UCUGUCUAUUUCUCUCUCCCCUUUCCUGCUGUGUCGCACUUCUCUUUCUCUUCCCAUAAGUCGUACCUCUCUCUCUGCUCCCAUCUCAUUUGUCUUUCACUUUCUCCCACAUGUGCUUGUCUGCUUCAGAUGUGCUGUUGUACCUUUUUGCAUUUGAAGAAAGUUUAUGAUAUUUUUUCUGUCCUGAUGGACUGAGAACAGGCGUGUACGGCUUCUUCAGCUGCCUGUGAAGUUGUUGCCUGACCUGCAUUCAGCAGUCAUGUUUCCCUAUUGGACUUUUGUGAUACAGAACAAAGGUGGCCUGAACAUUUUGCCUAUUCACCCUCAUCUUAGAACUCAUUUAGUGCUAUUUAACAAAUUUACUUUCACAACCAAAUUGAUAUUUUUUGGUCCUUUUUGAUGUUAUCUGAGCAUCAGUGACUGUUUGAUCCAGUUUUGAUGAAGUGAUUGAGGUCGCGCGUUUAGUUCUCGUUGUCCAGCAGAGAGUGAAGGGUAGAAUUAUUUAAUUAUUUGAUGUUAAUUCAGUCCCACUCUUGUGGAGUCACUCUCUCCUAAUGGAGCAGUCAGUCCAUCAGGGAUAUGGAAAGGAUACAUAAAACUGUGAUGAAAAUAUUCAGUAUAAAUUUAUGGAAUUGUACGUUUUUACUGGCCUCUAAUGAAUGACAGGUGACCCUAUCGCCAGCUUAUUUGGAGCUGCAAAAGACCGUUACUCACCGAACAAGCCUUGUCUUUACGAAGUUCUCGUGAUUUGUUUCUGAUGUCUGCUUUGUCUAGUAUCUCACAGACUUGUGUGAGUCACAGUUCGACCCCAACAUCUCUCUUUGUGUCUCUCUCAGUGGGAGGCAGGACCACGUGUACUCUACCCCCUCGCAGGAAAGUCAGUUGUUAUAACUUCAAGCAGCGGGCACUUUUAUGGACCUUUGAACCGGUCCGCUGACCACUAUUUUAUUCGUGUUGUAAAAUAUCAUACUUUGACCCUCUUACUUUUUAUUUCGAAGGUACUAACUCAAGUUAA
Sinocyclocheilus rhinocerous is the source of this 1015-nucleotide long non-coding RNA. RefSeq lists it as uncharacterized. The record is from RefSeq and is a predicted model, not a curated record. Lineage: Eukaryota; Metazoa; Chordata; Actinopteri; Cypriniformes; Cyprinidae. The transcript has 3 exons.